AUUGAACGCUGGCGGUAUGCUUAACACAUGCAAGUCGAACGGUAGCAGGCCUUCGGGCGCUGACGAGUGGCGGACGGGUGAGUAACGCGUAGGAAUCUGCCUAUUAGUGGGGGACAACGUGGGGAAACUCACGCUAAUACCGCAUACGCCCUACGGGGGAAAGGAGGGGACCUUUUAGGCCUUUCGCUAAUAGAUGAGCCUGCGUUGGAUUAGCUAGUUGGUAGGGUAAUGGCCUACCAAGGCGACGAUCCAUAGCUGGUCUGAGAGGACGAUCAGCCACACUGGGACUGAGACACGGCCCAGACUCCUACGGGAGGCAGCAGUGGGGAAUAUUGGACAAUGGGCGAAAGCCUGAUCCAGCAAUACCGCGUGUGUGAAGAAGGCCUUAGGGUUGUAAAGCACUUUCAAUUGGGAGGAAAACCUACCGGCCAAUACCCGGUAGCUUGACAUUACCUUUAGAAGAAGCACCGGCUAACUCCGUG
Molecule: ribosomal RNA, 482 nt
Filed under: uncultured Gammaproteobacteria bacterium
Lineage: Bacteria; Pseudomonadati; Pseudomonadota; Gammaproteobacteria
Description: bacterial SSU rRNA
Rfam family: Bacterial small subunit ribosomal RNA
Source: RNAcentral